GACGAACGCUUGCGGCGUGCUUAACACAUGCAAGUCGAACGGAAAGGCCCUGCUUUUGUGGGGUGCUCGAGUGGCGAACGGGUGAGUAACACGUGAGUAACCUGCCCUUGACUUUGGGAUAACUUCAGGAAACUGGGGCUAAUACCGGAUAGGAGCUCCUGCUGCAUGGUGGGGGUUGGAAAGUUUCGGCGGUUGGGGAUGGACUCGCGGCUUAUCAGCUUGUUGGUGGGGUAGUGGCUUACCAAGGCUUUGACGGGUAGCCGGCCUGAGAGGGUGACCGGCCACAUUGGGACUGAGAUACGGCCCAGACUCCUACGGGAGGCAGCAGUGGGGAAUAUUGCACAAUGGGCGGAAGCCUGAUGCAGCAACGCCGCGUGCGGGAUGACGGCCUUCGGGUUGUAAACCGCUUUCGCCUGUGACGAAGCGUGAGUGACGGUAAUGGGUAAAGAAGCACCGGCUAACUACGUGCCAGCAGCCGCGGUGAUACGUAGGGUGCGAGCGUUGUCCGGAUUUAUUGGGCGUAAAGGGCUCGUAGGUGGUUGAUCGCGUCGGAAGUGUAAUCUUGGGGCUUAACCCUAAGCGUGCUUUCGAUACGGGUUGACUUGAGGAAGGUAGGGGAGAAUGGAAUUCCUGGUGGAGCGGUGGAAUGCGCAGAUAUCAGGAGGAACACCAGUGGCGAAGGCGGUUCUCUGGGCCUUUCCUGACGCUGAGGAGCGAAAGCGUGGGGAGCGAACAGGCUUAGAUACCCUGGUAGUCCACGCUGUAAACGGUGGGUACUAGGUGUGGGGUCCAUUCCACGGGUUCCGUGCCGUAGCUAACGCUUUAAGUACCCCGCCUGGGGAGUACGGCCGCAAGGCUAAAACUCAAAGGAAUUGACGGGGCCCCGCACAAGCGGCGGAGCAUGCGGAUUAAUUCGAUGCAACGCGUAGAACCUUACCUGGGUUUGACAUGGAUCGGGAGUGCUCAGAGAUGGGUGUGCCUCUUUUGGGGUCGGUUCACAGGUGGUGCAUGGCUGUCGUCAGCUCGUGUCGUGAGAUGUUGGGUUAAGUCCCGCAACGAGCGCAACCCUUGUUCACUGUUGCCAGCACGUUAUGGUGGGGACUCAGUGGAGACCGCCGGGGUCAACUCGGAGGAAGGUGGGGAUGACGUCAAGUCAUCAUGCCCCUUAUGUCCAGGGCUUCACGCAUGCUACAAUGGCUGGUACAGAGAGUGGCGAGCCUGUGAGGGUGAGCGAAUCUCGGAAAGCCGGCCUCAGUUCGGAUUGGGGUCUGCAACUCGACCUCAUGAAGUCGGAGUCGCUAGUAAUCGCAGAUCAGCAACGCUGCGGUGAAUACGUUCCCGGG
RNAcentral lists this ribosomal RNA (1343 nucleotides) under uncultured bacterium. Its description in RNAcentral is "16S ribosomal RNA". It matches the Rfam family "Bacterial small subunit ribosomal RNA", at positions 28 to 1378 of the family's 1533-position model. The record is from RNAcentral.